Molecule: ribosomal RNA, 544 nt
Filed under: uncultured fungus
Lineage: Eukaryota; Fungi
Description: eukaryotic LSU rRNA
Rfam family: 5.8S ribosomal RNA (bases 182-335)
Source: RNAcentral
UCCGUAGGUGAACCUGCGGAGGGAUCAUUACCGAGAGUAGGGGGCCCCCCCGGGGCUCCCGCCCUCCCCACCCUUUGUUUGACCAACCCCGUUGCCUCGGGGGCCGGCCCGGCCGCCCCCGGUGGACCAACCGCAAACGCUGCAUCUGUGCGUCGGACGUAUACGAAGCAAAUCGUUUUAAAACUUUCAACAACGGAUCUCUUGGUUCUCGCAUCGAUGAAGAACGCAGCGAAAUGCGAUAAGUAAUGUGAAUUGCAGAAUUCAGUGAAUCAUCGAAUCUUUGAACGCACAUUGCGCCCCUUGGUAUUCCGGGGGGCAUGCCCGUUCGAGCGUCAUUACACCACUCAAGCCUGGCUUGGCCUUGGGCGGCGGGGUCGUCCCCGCGCCCCCAUGUUCGUCGGCUGGACGGUCGGAAUCUCAGCGUUGUGAAUCAACCCGCUCACGAGGACGACCGGACCGCGCCGUAAAACCCCCUCUUCUUCAGGUUGACCUCGGAUCGGGUAGGGAUACCCGCUGAACUUAAGCAUAUCAAUAAGCGGAGGAA